Molecule: long non-coding RNA, 699 nt
Filed under: Cyanistes caeruleus (blue tit)
Lineage: Eukaryota; Metazoa; Chordata; Aves; Passeriformes; Paridae
Description: lncRNA (ENSCCEG00000001255.1)
Source: RNAcentral
GUAAAUUACUUGCAUCCUGUUGUUCUCUCUUCUUUAUAUCUCAGGACAAAUUAAUUUAGCAAAUCCUUUGCUCCCCCCAUUACCUUCAUUUAUAGUGACAUUUCUACCAAGACUUUCUAAUGCUCUUUUCUCCAUGUUAAAAAAGACCACAACCCCUUCUCUACUGGAGUAGAGCAGUUUUAUUUUCUUGGGGCUGAAACAGUCUUCACAUGGAGCAGGCACAUCUAAAUGAACAUGCUGGGAAGUAUCUUAUGCCAGCAGGUGGAACUCCAGUGGUGACUAGGGCUGUUGGGCUCCACAGUGGGAAAAAGUUCCAACAUGCACUUACAGCACACCACCUCAUAGUAGGUUUGGCAAGGACUUGGCUGGGUAUAGGUGGGGACACUGACUCUUUUUUCUGUCUCCAUGGGAUAGAAAGGUGCCAAACACACUGUGGGCUAGCUGGAUUACAGCCAAGCUGGAGGUUCUUGCAAGGCACAUAUUGGUUUUGAGAUGUGAUGCAAAGAGAUGCCUGAAGCUGGCUUAGCUGACUUAGACAUAUGCAGAGUAUUAUUGGUUUCUACUUGCCUCAGCCCUCAUCUAGACCAAUUAUCCUCCAGAGAUGGAAACUAUUUAUUGUUCUGUGUUUAAGGUACUAUCAUGCUAUUAAACUCAGUACAUUUUAUCUUGCUGUUAAACUCAGUACAUUUUAGCUUGCUC